AUAUGCUUGUCCCAAAGAUUAAGCCAUGCAAGUCUCCGAGGAAGCGGUUCAAAUCUGCGAAUGGCUCCGUAUAUCUGUUGCAACCUCGAAGGCGAUGAGCUCUCACACUGGCCCCCGGCCUGGUGCUCGUAGGAUAUCUAAGGCAAUUCUUUGGCAUAAUACACGUAAACGGACCCCAACCGGAGUGGGUUCGUUCUCACCGGGCGGCGCUGGGGUCUAAAAAACCCCGGUGCCGACCACCUUAGUGUUCCGAUGAAUGCCGGAUUGGGGGCCGCGGCACUUACCCACCGGUCUCCCGGGCCCCGUCAAAAGGGCCCGGGGGCACCAAACCGCUGGGUGAUCCGGCCGCGCGCCGCACUGGCCCUCGCGCCAGGGUCCUUCAUGGACUUCAGCUCUAUCAACUAACCCUAUGAGGAACGCCCAGAGGGGGUAGCGACGGAUACAGAGGAUCAGGGUUCGAUCCUGGAGAGGAAGCCUGAGAGAUAGCUUCUACAUCUAAGGAGGGCAGCAGGCGCGCAACGUUCCCAAUGGGGAUACCCUGAGGACGUGACGGGACAUAUCAAGGCCGCGCGUAAAAGCGUGGUUAUUGACAUGGGGCCGAUUUAAAUACCCCACCGAGUAACAAUUGGAGGACAAGUCUGGUGCCAGCACCCGCGGUAAUUCCAGCUCCGAUAGCAUCUCGUUAAGUUGUUGCAGUUAAAACGCUCGUAGCCACGGUCGGCCUCCCCGCCUCUGUUUGUCCUGCCUUGAACCGGAACGCGUGCCCCGGAGCCGCCCGAGGGGGUUGCCGCAAGGCUUCCCCACCGAGUGGUGACGGGGUGGCGGAGUAGGUCUCGGAAUGUGGGCCUCUGGUGGGGUGGCCGACCGCUCGGGACCUUGGCCGGGGGGGAGCGCAAGCGACCCCCGUCUGUCGCCUGCCCGGGCAAGUCACUUUGAGUAAAUUAAAUCGCUCCAAGAAGGCCGCCUGUGGGCCUUGUACGGGACAUGAAACACCCCGUUUUGAAUAUUCCAGCAAAGGAUGGCGCAAUACGCUUUCCCUAAGCCCCCGUGAUACCGGUCGCGGGGGGAGAAUGGCUAAUGGGGUGGAUCGGGGCUGACCGCAUGGCCGGGGUAGGGGUGAAAUCUGAUGAUCCUGGCUAGGCGACCUAAUGCGAAAGCAGUCAGCAAGUACCACUCCGUUGGUCAAGAACGAAAGUUUGGGGAUCGAAGAUGAUCAGAUACCAUCGUAGUCCAGACUAUAAAAGAUGCCGGCUAAGGCUGGCGGGCCGCCCCCCUGGCGCCCGCUGCACUUGAUGAGAAAUCAUUAAGCGUUUGGGCUCCGGGGGGAGUAUGGCCGCAAGGCUGAAACUUAAAGGAAUUG
This 1360-nucleotide ribosomal RNA is filed under the name Dianema mongolicum. RNAcentral describes it as "partial small subunit ribosomal RNA". It matches the Rfam family "Eukaryotic small subunit ribosomal RNA", at positions 26 to 1155 of the family's 1831-position model. Lineage: Eukaryota; Evosea; Eumycetozoa; Trichiida; Dianemataceae. The record is from RNAcentral.